GACGAACGCUGGCGGCGUGCCUAAUACAUGCAAGUCGAACGCAUUUUCUUUCACCGUAGCUUGCUACACCGACAGAAAAUGAGUGGCGAACGGGUGAGUAACACGUGGGUAACCUGCCCAUCAGCGGGGGAUAACACUUGGAAACAGGUGCUAAUACCGCAUAAUUCCAUUUACUGCAUGGUAGAUGGAUGAAAGGCGCUUUUGCGUCACUGAUGGAUGGACCCGCGGUGCAUUAGCUAGUUGGUGGGGUAACGGCCUACCAAGGCUGCGAUGCAUAGCCGACCUGAGAGGGUGAUCGGCCACACUGGGACUGAGACACGGCCCAGACUCCUACGGGAGGCAGCAGUAGGGAAUCUUCGGCAAUGGACGCAAGUCUGACCGAGCAACGCCGCGGGAGUGAAGAAGGUUUUCGGAUCGCAAAACUCUGUUGUUAGAAAAGAACAAGGAUGAGAGUGGAAAGUUCAUCCCUUGACGGUAUCUAACCAGAAAGCCACGGCUAACUACGUG
Molecule: ribosomal RNA, 507 nt
Filed under: uncultured bacterium
Lineage: Bacteria
Description: partial 16S ribosomal RNA
Rfam family: Bacterial small subunit ribosomal RNA
Source: RNAcentral